This 253-nucleotide ribosomal RNA is filed under the name uncultured bacterium. Its description in RNAcentral is "partial 16S ribosomal RNA". It matches the Rfam family "Bacterial small subunit ribosomal RNA", at positions 524 to 776 of the family's 1533-position model. The record is from RNAcentral.
UACGGAGGGUGCAAGCGUUGUCCGGAUUUAUUGGGUUUAAAGGGCGCGUAGGCGGCUUUGCAAGUGACGGGUGAAAUCCCUCGGCUUAACCGAGGAACUGCCUGUCAGACUGCAUGGCUUGAGACCGGGAGAGGUGAGUGGAAUUCCCAGUGUAGCGGUGAAAUGCGUAGAUAUUGGGAGGAACACCAGCGGCGAAGGCGGCUCACUGGACCGGUACUGACGCUGAGGCGCGAAAGCGUGGGGAGCAAACAGG